GCCUACGGGAGGCAGCAGUGGGGAAUAUUGCACAAUGGGCGAAAGCCUGAUGCAGCGACGCCGCGUGAGGGAUUAAGGCCUUCGGGUUGUAAACCUCUUUCAGCAGGGAAGAAGCGAAAGUGACGGUACCUGCAGAAGAAGCACCGGCUAACUACGUGCCAGCAGCCGCGGUAAUACGUAGGGUGCGAGCGUUGUCCGGAAUUAUUGGGCGUAAAGAGCUUGUAGGCGGUUUGUCGCGUCUGCUGUGAAAUCUCAAGGCUCAACCUUGAGCUUGCAGUGGGUACGGGCAGACUAGAGUGUGGUAGGGGAGACUGGAAUUCCUGGUGUAGCGGUGAAAUGCGCAGAUAUCAGGAGGAACACCGAUGGCGAAGGCAGGUCUCUGGGCCACUACUGACGCUGAGAAGCGAAAGCAUGGGGAGCGAACAGGAUUAGAUACCCCGGUAGC
RNAcentral lists this ribosomal RNA (445 nucleotides) under uncultured bacterium. RNAcentral describes it as "bacterial SSU rRNA". It matches the Rfam family "Bacterial small subunit ribosomal RNA", at positions 337 to 794 of the family's 1533-position model. The record is from RNAcentral.